This is a long non-coding RNA of Gallus gallus (chicken), 13180 nucleotides long. RefSeq lists it as uncharacterized. NCBI's taxonomy places the organism in Eukaryota, Metazoa, Chordata, Aves, Galliformes, Phasianidae. The transcript is spliced from 7 exons. The record is from RefSeq and is a predicted model, not a curated record.
CUCUUUCUGCCACCAUAUAGGUUUUUUCCUUUAGCCUCUGCUUUAGCUUCACAAAGCGAACUGGAGAGCCUGUCCUGCCACCUUUCCUUUCUGACAGCCUAUGUAAGUGUUUAGGCUUUACUGGUCAUAUUUUCCUUCUUGCUUGGAAAGUGGACUGAGGAGGUGCCAUUAUCUCCCUGUAGGUCUCUCUGCUGCUUUUGAGCUACUUUCUAUUUUAGGUUAUUCAGCUGACAAACGCAUAGUGAAACUUACCUCUUGUCACCCGAGAAAUGGGGAUAAUCCCUACCUGAGAUUACCCAAACCAGCAAGAGUGUGUUGGUUUGCAGGAAACAGAUGAAUUUAGUUCAGUGUUGCUUACGAGGAGGUUUUUAAACGUGGGACUAAGGGGGGGGAUAUGUGACAUAAGUUGCACCAGCAAGCACUGCAAAUGCUGCUGAAUUUCAGCUUGAAAUAUAACUGUUCCCUCCUGUGCAAAGACUUGUGCAAGUUCAUUCAAGCUUCACUAUUGGUAAGUCCUAUCAGGGCCUUUCCUUUUCAUACCCAAAUUUGACAAGCAUCAACCACCAGAAAGCUCAAGGCAGUGCCUGAGAGCUCAGACAUGGAAUUUUCUUUGACUGCACUGGGUAUUUCUUGCUGCUGAAAGAUAAAAUCUCAGUUCCAUAUGCUUUUGAAACAUUGGGAUAUUUUACAUUUGGAUCUGCACUCAGAGUCAAUGGAUGUGCCUGCCAGUGAUACUUACUGUUGUUAUUUAUUUCAAUAGGGCUAUUAAAAUAGUGAGUAGUUCUGUGUCUGAAGUCUCUGCUCCUGUGAACUGUAUUUUGUGCAUUUGCCAAGUUAGGAAUCUGUAAACUAGACCUUGGGAUGAAAAAAAAGAUGAUACAAACUUUUGCUUUGAGUAUGGACGAUCUGAACCUUUGUACAGACUCAGAGGAAUGUGGUUAUUAACAACAAAUACCCUCUCAAUUUUUCCUCUUCUCCAAAGUAACUGGUCCAUACAUGAGCUCAGUUUUUGUGGUAACCCUUAGGGUGAGUGCAAACAUCAGAGCUCUCAUGAAAAGCAUUCGAUAUACUUUAUGGUCAGAGAGGGGGAAGAGAAGUAAGCCUGGAGCGCCUGCAGACCUGCAAUACCUAGGAAAGUGUUCCCAGUUCCCUCUAGACCUGUAGGCAGACUGGGUUUCUCCAAGCUCUUCAAAACUUGUCUGUGAAGGAUUACUUCCCAGAAUAUGUCCUCAAGAAGCUGCCUGGCCAGGCUGGGAUGAAGGUGGCAGUGGAGCAGGAGUGAUCCCCUUUGGAUUUCCCCAGAUUAGACCGCGGAGUGUACAGACAGGAAGCUGAAGUAUUGAGCGCCUGACCAGAGCUUCCUCCUGUGCAAGAGUGGGGGUUUCUCCAACUUGAAUCUUUAGCUCUACAAGCACAGUCCGAGUCUUGAAGUCCAAGGGAUAAAGAGCACCCAAAUCUUUCAGCUGGGUCCUCCGAGCGUGGAGAAUGGAGUACUGCACUUAAGCCCUGCUUGCAAGGUCAGCAAAACAGUUCUCACCUCUCCCUGCUGCUGCUUACCUUCCUGGCUCCUUAUCAAGCAGGGAAUCAGAAAGGGACUUUCCAGAGCUAUAAACAUGUGAGCUGAAGAGAUGGAAUGAACCCUUAUGCAAAUGAGUCUUGAUUCCCUUCCCUUUAUAAAGAUAAAAAGUUUUUGAGAGAGCAACGGCUCCUCCAGAAUGUGGGUGUCCGGAGUUAUUGCCUCGGACUGGCUGGAUCUCUCUGUGCUAUCUGUCUGUCUGUCCGCCUUUCUUUCUGCUUGUCUGUCUUUCCAUUGUAGAGAACAAAGCGGAGUGAUGUAAAAUAGAAAAUGAGACAAGCAAACCUUUGGUGAUUGAAGAGGAGGAAGGAAAAUGAAAGAGAAAAAGCUGAAGAGUGGGAAAAAGAUAAAAUAAAAUGAAUUUUGGGGAUUCCACUGUGAGUAAGAGCUGAAAAAAAAGUAAGCUGAUUUAUUACAUGUUUAUCUUCUGCCUGCGAGUCAGUGUGCCUUGUAUAUGCGAGGGGUGAACUGCACAUUAAAGAUUGAAUCAAAAAGCCAAAUUCUUCCUCAAUUCCUCCAGCUUUAAACGAGCAUAAUUCUGACAGCUCCGAUGGAUUUACAUUUUGUAAACAGCAGCGGAAUCAAGAUCAAGUCCUUUAAGUCAUUUUGAGUCAUAUUUAUGCUGAAGUUAUGAGAAAUUUAGAAUGACUUUUAAAUAACGUUUGUCAGGGAAGCUGCACAUUUUCUAACGCUUCUCUUCACUGGGCAGGAAUUUUGCUAUGGUCAUUGCAGUGUUGUUAUGACUUUAUUCUGAAUCCAAUGGCAGUACAGAAAGAAGGGGUGAUGUUAUCGUUAUGUGCAUCCAUAUUUUCCUUGCAUUAUGACUUAUGUAUAUUCAUUUUUAUUUUAAAUGUGUAUUUUAACAACCGUUUAAACAGGGAGAUGGCAUGAGCUAGUUGAUGUAAGUAUUUUUUUUUCUCUCCAUCAAAUGCCACUGAUUUUGAAAAUGCAGUGUUUGACUGCAGCCGGAGGGUUUAGCUGGCUACACCUUGCUUUCUUUCACAUUAAUCCUUUACUCUUUUGCAGGUUUAUUUCUUCCUUUGCGUGCUCUGAGCUUAUCUGGGCAUCCAAAAGUUUGUUUUAUAGUAUGGAAGAAGAGGGACAGAGGAAGCACCGCAGGUUUUCUUGAUGAAAUUUCCAAGCUUUUGCAGGUGUGGAGACGGGCUUCUGGAGCCUGCAGAAUAAGGCAGCUCCCAUCCCUCUCUUUCUCCACCUAAUCAGACAGUUUCUCUUACUCUUCCUUUUUCUGAACAGUUUGUUCGCUAAAAAAUGCUGUUUCGAAUGAACUGAAAUUAUUGACAGAGCUGAAUGGAGUGGUGCAAAUAGUACUGGGUAAACCAUCAAAAAAAUAUUUUGACAUUUGUAGAAUUAAAUCCUAAUUCUUUCUUUGAAAGUGCUUUUUUUCAUUUUCAUGUUCUUCUUAUCGUUUUUAUGCAGCAAUAAUGACAGCAAAGAAGAAACGAAGUAUUUUGUUUUAGGCCAAGAAAUACGUUCUAGUGCAGCUCAAAUUAUUUGCUUAUUUAUUUAUUGUUCAGAAAAGAACAAAAGUCACUCCAGGUUCCACCAAAUGGCAUUUUCCUUUUCCUUUCUUUCUUCUUUUUUUUUUUUUGAUUAGUAGAGGAAAACAUGGCUAAUUGCCACAGCCAAAAGUCCAUACCAUUGUCAGGACCAGCUGUAUUUCAGCUAUGUUAAUCUGGCAGAAUACUGAGCAUUCAUUUUCUGUGGGAAAUGAUGAUUAAAAAAGGGAAUUAUUUUUGAUAAGAAAAACGUACCCUUUUCUGUGCUUUUAUUGGUCAGAUUAAAUAUAUAAUCCACCUUUUCCCAUAAUCAGGGAAAGAAAAAAAAAAAAAAAAGGAGGAGAAAAGUCAGCUUUCAUUAUUGAAAUAGAUUUUCUGGAAGAUUUUUGACCCAAUUCCCUAACAUGAAAGGCUGCAGCUACUCUCUCCUGCAGUGUUUCAGAUGCCUGUGCUCCAUCGCAGCUUCCAUUGGGGCUGAGCGCUUCCCUUGGGCAGCAGAGCCUGGAGCUCCUGGAGCCAUGGGAUGAGGCUGCGGUGGGGACUCUUUGGCAGGACAGAGGUUUCAAGUGUGUCAGUGACUGCCUGUGGUCUUUGUGGGGGGAUUCAGUAAGGAAAAGUAUGGAAAACAGAGAGCUGCAGAAAACUAUUUCAAAGCUUGGAUUCUGUAGUGCAUGCUGGAUAGCCAAGUCCUCACCGGCAACUUGAGCAAUGUCAUGUCAAAAGUCUGUGUAGAAAUCAAAGAAUGUCUUUACUUUUCACUGUAAUCAUUUGUAGCAGUUAAUACAUUUGAUUAAAUGUUCGAGAGUUGGUCAUGUUGAAUCUGAAUGGCACCUAGAACUAUUUUCUUUAAAAUCAGCCCCGGUGAGCUCAAGGGGAGCCAGAUUUAACAUCGUGGUGAGCGUAUCCUGGUGGAAGGCAGGCUGGCUCCCCGCAGGCUGUCUGCAUCAGCGCUUCUCAGCCUUCUCUAAUGGGGCCUUCUUGGAAAAGCCGUGGCUGGACCAUUUCCCACGCACAACAAGGAGCCGUCUGCACCUGCAGGCGCUCACUGGCAGCAUCCAGAGAGCGGCUCCCGGCUCCGUCUGCCAGCACUGGUGCUUCUCUGCCAAAUGGAGCAGACAUGUGGUUUGUAUCUUCUAAAUGAGCUCGUGCAUAGAGCAGGUUCUGGCGUCCGACAGCAAACAGUGGGCUGCAGCCCACGGGCUGUGUAACACCCAUCCAGCUCCCGGCGCUGUCACGCCUGCACCUGGUCAUGAGCCAGAGCUCUCGGGCUGUUGCAUUCGCUGCUGUGUGCCGGUCUCUGCAUAACUACGGCCAGUUUGCACUGCACUUGAGCUGUUUCAUUAUUCUAAUUUUAAUUGUAGUUGAUUUCAGUGAAUUAAUGUUGAAAUGGGCUAUCUAUGAACUGAAAGUGUGCUUGCUCUUCACAGCUUAUUUUCAGUAGCUGCAGUAUUGUUAGAGUAUAAAUACAGCCAUCUCUUCUGGAAUCGUAGGAUCACUGGAGUUUGAAGGGAUGUUUAAAGGUCUUUGAUUCCAAUUCCCCUUUCCAGAUUUCAACUCCAGCUUUUAUAUUUCAAGUAUUUAGAUACUGAACCUGUCUGAAGAAAAAAUAUCUCCGGCUUCUAAUGGAUUUCUAACAUUACAAUUGUUUAUUAUAAUAAAUAAUUGAAUAAUAAUAGCCUAAUAUAAAAAAGAAUGAAAUCCUUGCUGAGUGAUCAUGGCAUUCCUUUUUUAAAUAAUGCAAUAAUUACAAAAACAUUUUAGUUAAUUAAAACUUUAAGUUAAUGUUUGCCUGUUUUUCAACUAUUUAUGCAGAGCCUAAUCAUUUUGGGUUAGUGAUACAGAGCACAGCAGCUGCACAGGGACAAAGACUUGUAAGUACCUGUGCCAUUGCCACAGAUGGAACAAUGCCAGUUCUUUUGAGUUCUUAAAAAUGUGGAAAUUGAAAGGGAGCAAGGAAUGGCCAUCUACUCUCUCCUGUUUGCUUUACCCACCUCUCCCUAUGUUGCUGGUUGUUUAGAUUGUAUCUGACAUGUAUGGCCGGACCAGACUUUUCUGGUGCUUGGUUCCACUAUGUGCAUCAGGAACUGGUUUGGGUGAGCAGUCCAUAGUGCCACGUGUUGGGACGCAGCACGUGCCUUGCACCCAGCAUCUGCAGCACAUGCCUGGUUGGAUAUCUGAGCCAAGGGAGGAAGCGCUGCUGGAUCUGGGACCGGCUCCAUACACGAGACUUGGAGAGUCACUGCCACAGCAGGGCUGGGCUGCAGACAGAUAUCUUACUUUACAUCAGCAAAGAUCUCCUUGCACCUGGAGGAAAGCCAAGCACCGGGGAGAGAGAGCAGAGGAUGAGAUACUGCUGCACAUCAGAACGGCCUUGAAACGAAUGUCGUGUAUCCUCAGCUUUGAGAACUGAAUUCCAUGGGUUGUAAUUGAAUCCUUUGUCAGACCCAUGGGGCUCAGUUCUUCAGCUUGGAUAUUUCUGUCUUCACAUACACGGGAGAUCAAAGAAGCACUUGAUCAUGCGCUGACUCUUCCGGAUUCUGAUAGCAGCAAAUAGGAAAGAGAAAGAAUAACUGAUGUGAAUCACUCUGACAGGGAGGUUUCACUGCAAAGACCAGGCUCUCUCAUGUCGAGUAGCUGCGCAGUGAUUGAACCUCUCCGUGGCUGAUAGUCUGUCCCUGCAUUGCUGCUCGCUGGUUAAUUCAACUCUCCUCUCAGUUUUAUCGAAGUUACAUAUCAAGUGCUGAGAUGAUGCUGACUGACUUAUGCUUCCCAAAAAUUGUGUGGUGCUGCUGAAUGUGGCUCUGCUCCCACAUGGGACCAGCAACACCCCAGCCCUGCCAAGUCUACCCACUGUUGGUCUGCUGCAGCCUCCUGUCUGGGAUCACUGCUGCACAGCUACUGUUUGCUCUUUUUUGGCCCCCUUGAGGUGGACCCAUUCAAGUUGUGGGCUGAAAAAGUUUGUGUUUCUUCCUUGGAAGAUCUGUGUUAAAGUUUAUUUUCUUUCAGGCGUCAGGAAAAUAAAAUUUAUGGUCUUCAAACAUGUAAAGAGGUAUAAUUACCAACGAGAUUUCUACUUCAUUCCUGCAAUAAUAACCCUUCCUAAAUUACAUUUUUCAAACUCAGUAAAAUGGAUCAGUCACUGAUCUCAUCCCUGUGGUGCAAUGCUGUUAAAAGCACAGGAAUAUUAAAAUCCCACAGGUGCAGGAGGAGCGUGUUCAGCUAAGUAGUUUAAAGCUGCUGUGUGCCUUUUAUUCUGAAAAUGUAUUUACACUAAAAAUAAUCAGAUGUAAUCACUGUUGCCUGUGGAUACAGAUGUACCUUUGUACCGAUGUGCUUUUCAUAUAAAUUUUAUUCCAGGGUUUGAAGGGUUUCUUUGUGGCUGUCUGAAACAUAUCAUGCUGCCCAGUUGUGAGACGACGGAUCUUGGAAGGACUCACCAGUCCCACCAGCUCCUGCUGGGAGAUAUCCAUUAAACAAGAAGAAGGAGAAACAUACACAAACGAAAGCGAAAUUCUGAAGUUUCAUUUCUGCUGUACACCCUGUCAAAGAGAGGGAAUUAAAUUGGAGGUGAGAGUUAGCAAAAUCUGCAAAAGAAGAGAGUGAGGUAGCAGCUGCACAGAAUGCCCGAGGCGGGCAUCUGCUGGCAGGGCUGCAGCAGCCACCUCUGGGGCAAAGUCCAGCCUGCAGGCACUGAGGCAGCACAGGGGAUGUGUGUGUGAUGGCAGCCUCACAAGGCCACGGAUGAAAUCAAGAUAGCCUUUGGUACGGCAGUUUUGCAGUCCUAUCCCUAAAGCACAGUGUUUGUAACGCUGGUUUUGCUCAGCAAUUUACCAUAAGUUGUGAACUAACAAUAGUACUGCUGGUGUCUAGCUGGAAGUACUGGAAUUUCUAGUCAGCUCUUAAAUCCAGCCUGCCCUCCAGCCCUCUGUGCUGACCACUCUGUGUGCUCUUCCUUUGCUGUGGGCUCCUGUAGUCCUUUUGAUCCUCCCUUGCCCAACAUGACACAGCAUUCUCUUUCUGGAUACUCCUGGGAUCUUUUCUUUAAACCGCCCGGUUAAUCUUUCAAGAGCACUCCUGCAGAAUUAAAAUUAUUUUUAACACGUGGCUUCAAACCAACGUGCCUUCUGCCUGCCUACCUGCACAGCCUUGCAGUACACACACAGACCCCUCUGCAGUCUGAGCCAGGCAAUGCUCAGGCACCCCAGCAUGCCCAGGACCUGUGCUGCGAUUCCCAGUGUGCCCCCAGGUAUGCGAAGUGCUGGUUGAUAUGAUACCCAAAUUCUCUCAGCUUCUCCUGUAUCCAGGCUUAUGAAACUGACCUCUUUAAUUCAGGCCUCCUCCUGUUUAAUUUCAGAGUGAAAUGUUGAUUUGUCAUUGUAAUUUUUUUUUUCUCUUUACAGAGUCAUUCAGGUGAAUUCAGCUGUAUUCGUUGCUGCUGUAAACUUGAAACUCAAUUUUGGGCCAAGUAAAGCAUUUGCUAGAAAAUAUUACCCCUCUCUCUAUCUUUUUCUAGCUGAUUUAUGCCACAUUCUGGUGCUUAUUCACAGAUCUCAGCCUGUGCAUUUUGUUCAGGUAAAGCAAUGGGCUGAGUCCUCCUGGCACAGCUGUGGCAGAGCAGCACAACCACCCACAUUUUACAGAUAAAUAAGCUGAGUCCUGACCCUUAGAAUGGGACAACAACCCUGAGUUCCACUGAGUGCCAGCUGUAUUUCAGUUCUGGCUUUCUGCUUUUCAUUCCCAACAAAUAAAUGACAACAAGCACCUCCUUUGGCUGCUGGCAGGAGCGUGCCCCAGAGUCCCACUGAGCCUCUCCUCCCUUGGCUGAGGGUCUAUCCCCAUUUGCUGAUCAACCACUGCUCCCCUUUGCUGCCUCCCACACCAUGAACAGCCUCUGCCUUCCUUCUUGAUACUGUGCGUGCCUUGCCUGGUGGAUGCUGGUGGGAGAAGGGUGAGUGCUGGCUGCAGACCGGUGUUUCUGCUCAGCAAAUGAUCUCAGGCCCUUUCAAAAGAGUGACUGCACAUCGCACACUGCUCUGCAGAAAGCUCUGUGCUUGCUACCCUUUGGUACCCCAAGACAAGCUAGCUGCUGCCAAGUACAGCUCAUCCUUUUUUGGCUAGCAGCCCUUUUUGCUUCCAGGAAAAUGAUGAGUUUAUGUCAGGUUCAGUAAUCCUGAUGUCUGCACAGCUGAGAGAAAUAGCGCUUUAAUGUGUGCAUGACUGUGCAUGUGUAUAUAUGGAAACUACAGCUUUGACAAGCCUCUCGUCUGCCUUGGGAAGGAAACAGCAGGGCUUGAAAGCCAUGGAGUCGCAAUGCGCUGGCUAAGGUCAGCAGCUUUCAGUGACUCACAAUCUGUUUUCCUGGCAGCCCCACCAUACAGCAGGUUGUGCCCUUUUUAUCUUCUGUUUCUUUAUUUUUUUUAAAAAAGAAAGGCCUACAUAAGAAAAGCUGCUGGCUCCAGACAGCCUGGAAGUCCUCACCCUUUGACAGCAUGCAUGUUCUCAAGUACAGAAAGCUCUGCUCACUGGUAUCUCUACCAGCCUAUUUUUGCACUGGUAAGGAGAUGCCCUUUCAGUUUACAUUGGAUUGAUGUUACUCUGAAAAAUAUUUGCUAGGCUGUCUCUCUGGUAGCCAUCCUUGCUUUCCAUUUUCUGUAUGCUUGCAGCCGAGCUGGGGAGGAGCAAUGGGCACAGGCAGCUGAAAGCUGCUAGGGCACCGAGAUGCCUCCGGCUGCCAUUAAGUGCCUGGUUUCGAGCAAGAGGACAGAUUUGUUUCACUUUUUCUUCCUUUUCUUUGCUAAAAAUACAAUUGACACUGCCUCAGCAUUUACAGAUAAUACAUGGAUUGGUCAAAUAAUGUAAUUUGUUAAAAGAACCCAAAGAGAUAGAAUUUUUGACUUCCACUUCUACUAACUUUUUUCCCCCAAACUUUUUAAAACUCUCCUUACCGUCGUUUUUCUUUCUUUCAUAUUCCCAACAUUUCAUUGUCAGCUGCCUCCUAUACACACCGGAACAAGCACAGGUAAUCACUGGGAGAGGCAGCUACUUCAUUUCGAGACAAGAAGGAAACUUCUGAAUCAGAUUUGAAAUAAACAUAAGCUGUGCUACAGAUUUGUCUCUACAGAUUCCUCUGGUUGCUUUAACCCUUGAGAGCCCACAGCCUGGGGCACUUCCCCACUGCCUGCUCCUCCCCGGCCUCCCGCCCUUGCUAGCAGAUGGCCGUCUGCAAUGGCAGGUGGAAGGGCACAGCCAUGUUUGGAUGGGGCUGGCCGGGCUGGAGCAUUGCCAGCCUUUGCCUUUCCGCAGUAAAUAACCCAGUUCUUGAAUAAUUAAAGCCACUUUACAUCAAGGGUGAUCCAUAAAGGAAGUCAUUUUGCAUGUGAAAAGCUGUGAAGAGUGGAAGACAUCGGGGUAUCGCAGUCAGCAGAGAGCAUCUGAGAUUGGUUAUAGCACGAUUUUUAUUCCAUUUGAUGUAGAAAUUGACCAGUCCUACAACAGCUGCAGUGAGAGGAGAUGGUGACAUCCCCGCGCAUCCCUUCCCCUGUGUCAGACCUUCAGAGAAUCCACCACCAGCUGAUGGUGGCUUCAGGCACAGCUUCACCAUUUUGGCUCUGGAUGUGUUUUAAUAUCAGUCUGGGGGGAGCAGUGGAUGUUAGAUGUAAAAUUCCCCUUAAAAAGCAGUGGUAGGUAAUUAUUUUCUGUUUCUGCAGAGGAGGUUGUACGUGUACAUACAGUAGUUUUCCUUUUGGUGAGUAUGACUAACAGUGACCCAUGCAGGAGGGCAUCUGCGCCUUCCGAUUAACCAGAGGGGGAGAGCAAAGGGGAGCUGCACUCAUGCAGAUAUAGCCCGUAAAGCUUCUGUGUAGCGCAGUAACAUCUUUUGCACUAGAAUUUUCAGAGAGGCUUAAAUUGUCACGGUGAAAGGUAGAAGUUCCCAGGAGCUUGUGUUGUGCUUUUCCACCCUUGUCCUUGGGCAUAGCUUAAAGGCUCCUGGUAAGGAGCAGCCCUGGUGCUGUGAGUGCCUGGGAGCUGGCUGUGCUCCUCCAGAGGAAGCACCCAUCUGCCAGCUGCUAGUCCCAGGGCUCAAACAGCUCUCACAAUGGUCUAACAUGAAGCUAAGCCUCUUAUGUUUUGUAACCAUGCAGCUGGAAGCAAACUUAUAUAUGCAAAUUGUACAUCAGUAAACAGUGACAAAUGUGACCUGAUUCCUCUGGCAUUAGGCAUUUAUAUUGGUAUCUUUUGUGCUUUGGAAAUACAAAAUGGGUAUGGGAAAAUAAAUUAGAGAGUGUUGGGAGUUUUGUCACCAGAGGUACUUAUCUUUUUUCUUUUUAAAGGAAGGAACCUUCAUUUGUGCUGCAAGUUGAGAGACACUGGCCUCAGAAAGCCAUUGGAUGUUAUUGGCUUGCUUCCUGCAGUCUGUGCUGCUAUAAUACCAUUCAAACAAGGAUAAAACUCAUGAGUGCCUGGUUCAGCAAGUCAUUGUGUAGCUCCCUCUAUGGGCCCCCGUGUACCACUCUGCCCAUUCGUCUCAAAGCACCUACUGACACUCAGACAUGGAGCUACAGGCAGACCCUUGCUGGUACUCUUGCUAUCAGGCCAAAGGCAUUUAUGGCCCCAGAUGUCUGACACAGUGAUUGAAACGGGCAUUCCUCAUGUCAGAGCUAUGCUGCAAGAAAACUAUUGCAGUCCCUUCGCCUCCCUUGGGGUCCCUUCCAACCCAAGCCAUUCUAUGAUACAGUGAUUCUACGACCAUCUUUCCACCAUAAAUAAAAUAUUAGUGUAGCAUAGCAGGCUGCAGAUAUGCUUUGCACGAGAUUGUAGAAUGGAAAUAUAUUGCAGAUGGUAUUUACUUAAAAGACAAGUAAAUUUUUAUUUCUGUCUCUGCAAGGACAAAAACUAAUUAAAAGCCAGGCAGAGUGUUUUCUUCUUCACUUGGAACAUUACAAUAAGUGGUAACAUCUGUGUUGCACAAUUUAUUAUUUGUGCGUGCAAUGUUGUAAAAUAUACUUUCCCAACAUUACAAGCUGGUGUACUAAUUUACAUUAAAAUGCUAAUUUAAUUUGGAGUAGAAGAACUCAAUAUCAUUUCUUGUCUUCAAAGUGUCUUUCUCAUCCCAUUCCAGCACUUCAAGGAAACUGUUCUAGAGUGAGUUCAGGGAGUCCUCUCCCCACAUACAGUGGUCUGUUAAAUGCAGGAUGCAACUUCAGCUGAACUCAACACUGGGACACUGGAGCUGGAAAAAUGCCCUGUAAGUGUUCCUUGAAUCAAGAAGAUUUGAGCCAAAUGAGACUGCAGAGUCUCGUAGUCAUUGCUCUGAGUUGCACAGGCGAUGAGAUGGUGCACCUUGCAGUACAUAGUGGGGAUAGUGACUCAGGAAGUAAUGCUCCUGGUAUAACAUAAUACAUUAUCACAGCUUUUCAUCCAGCAGCCACCUAAUGCAGAACACAGCGGGAGUCCUCUUUACAAGGACAAAAAGGAGUGCUCACUGCCAUGCAAGCGCCCAACUUUACUCAUUUUACUUCUGCACUGGUGUUCCAUUCAGCUUUUCUCCCCUUCUCCACUUAUUGUCCCCAUCAACCAAACCCUUAAUAGACCCCUCCAAGUCCAUCCAUCCUGUGUUAAAUCCCAGGGGAGGCUGUGCCCUCCUGAGAGGUGCAGUGCUUCCAGGAGACACGUAGUCCUGUGCCUCAACGUAUGUGGGCGGGAAGGUAAAGAGACACAGGAGCUGGAGAAGCUGCUUCUCCCCUAGUGUACGAUAUGAGCUCAGCCCAUUCCCCCUAUGACUCACACUGUUAGGACACUAAUUAAGCAGAGGAAUAUCUCUGUAUGGAUUAUAAAUAGCCUGAGGGAGUACAUAGGGUAAAUCAAAGGAAGACCUUGAUCACUGUCAUUGGCAGCUUAAAUCAGGCAGUGUGACUUUGCACAGGGGUGAAUCAAACAGGAGUGUGGGAAUUGCUGCUCCUUCUCCUGAGCACUUGGCUGGAGGUUCUCCUUUGCCACUGUCUUAGCUGACUGCAGCUCCGGCCCGGCAUUGAUAACACAAUAUCAGCAUGUUAGCAGACGUACUGUGAAUAAGCUUGUGGGCAAGAACCUUCAGAUCAUGUGUGUUUAAUCUUGAGGUGAUUGAUUUAGCCCGUGUACAAGGGUAGCCUUUUCUACCGCUGCAGCCAAGUUUGUUGGGGACUGUGAAUUGAUCUGAGCAAUAGAUGCUACCAGUAGGGCCGUGCUGUUAGCGAGCAGAAGUGGAGACACAUCAAUAGCGGGUCUCUUCUGGAAAGAGCCAUUAACCCCCCGGCCGCUGUUAGCCUGGAGAUAUUCAGCGAGGAUUUGUCUCUUUCUCUGUGCUUUUAACCUUAGCUGCGAGCUGUUCCUUCAGCUUUCAGAGCUGAUUGCAUCCCCAAUUCUACUUAAGCUGGUGGAAUAUCUUUGUGCAGCCCAUUACUGCCACCAGUCAUCUAAAUUACAUAAUUUGCAUUGAUUUGGUUAAUACAAAGAGUUUUCAUCCAUUUAGAAUGGGAAGUGAUUUUCUGUUGCUGUUGUUCACACAACCAUUGCAUACAAAGGAAUGUCAGGUCUUCUGCCUUCCAGAUACCUCCAUUCCCACCGCAAGGCUGGGUGUCAGUGUGGCACAUCAGAUCACAGGAAGGUAUGGGACACCUCCACACGUUCCUUGUGUUUCCUACUGACAGACAACCAUGAUCACUAGAGAAAAAUUAAGCUGAGACUCAUCAUCUCAUCAGCAUAUGGGCUGCAAAGUAUUAAUAGAACAAAUCAAACACUCUCCCUCCAAAGUAGGGUCCUUUGGCCCCCGCGAGGAACUGCCCCUCUGAUGAAGAAACCCAGACUUCCAUUUGGGUUACAGCUUCGCUUUAGCAUCAAGUUGAAAAUCCCAUUCUAUUGUCACAGUGAACAAGGGCUGAAGUAAGGAAAGGAAAGAUUGCUUUUUUUAAAAAAAAAAAGUUGGUUUUUAUUACAGCUGGAAGGUGGAACUGAAAACUCUGGAAAGCCACAUCAAGCUCCAUGUAGUCAGAUUCCCUCAGUGAUUAAUUAAUCAGAAAAUAAAUCAAAUAAACUGUGUUUUUCUCUGUUU